Molecule: long non-coding RNA, 1094 nt
Organism: Ictalurus punctatus (channel catfish)
Lineage: Eukaryota; Metazoa; Chordata; Actinopteri; Siluriformes; Ictaluridae
Source: Ensembl
GCUUUAGUGACUUACGAGCUCACCAUGGACAUCACCAACCGCAUCUACAACAGCUCUCUACUCAAGUCCAACUCUUCUGAUUAUGCGAUCUUGUACAAACAAUUACUGACAUGCUCAACUCCAUCUACGGCUGUGCCACGUGUAAAACACACGUGUUUUAUGGCAAUGUGUCAGCGAUGACCUUCAGCAAUCAAACUGGAACCGUGCUCGUAAAGGCUAGUCUCGUGUUCCAGUCAAACAAAACCAACGCUGAUGAGAUCAAAGGGCUGUUUAUGAACGCGACCGCUGGCGAUAAGGAAAUAAACGGCCUUAAAGUCAACCCUAAUUUCACACAAGUUUCAGUGAAAUCUGAGGAGGCUCCGAAUGCUUUAGUGACUUACGAGCUCACCAUGGACAUCACCAACCGCAUCUACAACAGCUCUCUACUCAAGUCCAACUCUUCUGAUUAUGCGAUCUUGUACAAACAAGUUACUGACAUGUUCAACUCCAUCUACGGCUGUGCCACGUGUAAAACACACAUGUUUUAUGGCAAUGUGUCAGCGAUGACCUUCAGCAAUCAAACUGGAACCGUGCUCGUAAAGGCUAGUCUCGUGUUCCAGUCAAACAAAACCAACGCUGAUGAGAUCAAAGAGCUGUUUAUGAACGCGACCGCUGGCGAUAAGGAAAUAAACGGCCUUAAAGUCAACCCUAAUUUCACACAAGUCAUAGCACCACCGUCCACCCCUGCACCAACUGUCUCCAGCACUUCCCAUACAACCAAGUCUCCACUUCUUGCAACUACACACUACAACACCGCCUCGUCCUUUAAUCAAAGUCCCAUUGCUCUGACGUCAAUUCUCCGCUAUACUGUUUCGUUCUGCCUGCUUUACUUCCUCAGCUAUUCUUUUUAAUUGUGUAAACCUGCCACUAGGGGCAGUGCAACAUCUUUAUAUAAUGAAAUACGUUAAUCUACAGGGUGUACCAACAAUCUCCUUACAUAGUGGACUAUGUUCACCAGCAUCACGUCGGUUGUGUCUUUAUGAGUGGAUGUUGGUGAAUGUCCACUUCUCGGUCUGCAACACUUAUAUAUAUAUAUAUAUAUAUAUAUAUAUAUA